UGGGGAAUUUUGGACAAUGGGGGCAACCCUGAUCCAGCAAUGCCGCGUGAGUGAAGAAGGCCUUCGGGUUGUAAAGCUCUUUUGUCAGGGAAGAAACACCGGCUCUAACACAGUCCGGGAAUGACGGUACCUGAAGAAUAAGCACCGGCUAACUACGUGCCAGCAGCCGCGGUAAUACGUAGGGUGCGAGCGUUAAUCGGAAUUACUGGGCGUAAAGCGUGCGCAGGCGGUUAUACAAGACAGGCGUGAAAUCCCCGGGCUUAACCUGGGAAUGGCGCCUGUGACUGUAUAGCUAGAGUGUGUCAGAGGGGGGUAGAAUUCCACGUGUAGCAGUGAAAUGCGUAGAUAUGUGGAGGAAUACCAAUGGCGAAGGCAGCCCCCUGGGAUAACACUGACGCUCAUGCACGAAAGCGUGGGGAGCAAACA
RNAcentral lists this ribosomal RNA (426 nucleotides) under uncultured Polynucleobacter sp. RNAcentral's name for it is "partial 16S ribosomal RNA". It matches the Rfam family "Bacterial small subunit ribosomal RNA", at positions 355 to 774 of the family's 1533-position model. The record is from RNAcentral. Lineage: Bacteria; Pseudomonadati; Pseudomonadota; Betaproteobacteria; Burkholderiales; Burkholderiaceae.